UACGGGGGAUGCGAGCGUUAUCCGGAUUUAUUGGGUUUAAAGGGUGCGUAGGCGGAUUUUUAAGUCAGCGGUAAAAUGUCCGGGCUCAACCCGGGCCGGCCGUUGAAACUGACGCCCUUGAGUGAGUGAGAAGUAAGCGGAAUGCGUGGUGUAGCGGUGAAAUGCAUAGAUAUCACGCAGAACUCCGAUUGCGAAGGCAGCAUACCGGCGCCCGACUGACGCUGAGGCACGAAAGCGUGGGGAUCGAACAGG
RNAcentral lists this ribosomal RNA (252 nucleotides) under uncultured Bacteroidales bacterium. Its description in RNAcentral is "partial 16S ribosomal RNA". It matches the Rfam family "Bacterial small subunit ribosomal RNA", at positions 524 to 776 of the family's 1533-position model. The record is from RNAcentral. Lineage: Bacteria; Pseudomonadati; Bacteroidota; Bacteroidia; Bacteroidales.